UCCCUGGUGGUCCAGUGUUCAGGACUCGGUGCUUUCACUGCCGAGGGCCCAAGUUCAAUCCCUGGUUGGGAAA
RNAcentral lists this transfer RNA (73 nucleotides) under Ovis aries (sheep). It matches the Rfam family "tRNA". Rfam says of the family: Transfer RNA (tRNA) molecules are approximately 80 nucleotides in length. Their secondary structure includes four short double-helical elements and three loops (D, anti-codon, and T loops). The record is from Rfam by way of RNAcentral. Lineage: Eukaryota; Metazoa; Chordata; Mammalia; Artiodactyla; Bovidae.